RNAcentral lists this ribosomal RNA (491 nucleotides) under uncultured bacterium. Its description in RNAcentral is "partial 16S ribosomal RNA". It matches the Rfam family "Bacterial small subunit ribosomal RNA", at positions 29 to 506 of the family's 1533-position model. The record is from RNAcentral.
AGUGAACGCUGGCGGUAGGCCUAACACAUGCAAGUCGAACGGCAGCACAGUAAGAGCUUGCUCUUACGGGUGGCGAGUGGCGGACGGGUGAGGAAUACAUCUGAAUCUACUUUUUCGUGGGGGAUAACGUAGGGAAACUUACGCUAAUACCGCAUACGACCUACGGGUGAAAGCAGGGGAUCUUCGGACCUUGCGCGAUUGAAUGAGCCGAUGUCGGAUUAGCUAGUUGGCGGGGUAAAGGCCCACCAAGGCGACGAUCCGUAGCUGGUCUGAGAGGAUGAUCAGCCACACUGGAACUGAGACACGGUCCAGACUCCUACGGGAGGCAGCAGUGGGGAAUAUUGGACAAUGGGCGCAAGCCUGAUCCAGCCAUACCGCGGGGGUGAAGAAGGCCUUCGGGUGGUAAAGCCCUUUUGUUGGGAAAGAAAAGCAGCAGGUUAAUACCCCGCUGUUCUGACGGUACCAAAAGAAUAAGCACCGGCUAACUUCGU